This is a non-coding RNA of Picea glauca (white spruce), 121 nucleotides long. The record is from Rfam. Lineage: Eukaryota; Viridiplantae; Streptophyta; Pinopsida; Pinales; Pinaceae.
ACAUGCCUACAACAUAGCGUUGAUGCAUCAGAUCUUAUUAGAACUCCACAGUUAAGCAUGCUUAGGAUAGAGUAGUACUAGGAUGGGUGAUCGCCCGGGAAGUCCUAGUGUAUUACAUGCA